GGCUAAAGUCGGUGAGGGGAGCAGGGCUGCGUGAGCAGAGGGAAGGGAGUGGGAGGGUCUACGGGGGGUGGUGGUGGCGGUCUAGAGGGUAGUUGGUGGUGGCGGCGAUACUUAGGUCCGAGAGCCGGCGGCCGCUGCGUGGGGAGUGAUCACUUAUCGAGGAAGGAGCUGUGGAGUAGGGAGUCGGGGACAUGAAUCCUAAAGUGCUACGAAGAAGGGAGUAAGCUACAGCACGGCGAAGGCCACUGGUGUCACGGCAGUAGCUCUAGAGUUGAGGACGUGGUGCGGAGGGAGGUCAGUGACUGGUCUAAGCCUGUCGUCUAGCUCAACAACUUCUGAGGACACGGUUGGGUACCAGACAGUCGAGGCGUAGGAGGAGAGAGGUACCAGAAACAAGACAGUACGGAGUAUGGUUUGACGAACCCUUAGCAUAGUACAUAACAACACCACUAUCUGACCACUAAUCAUCUAUGGGAGCC
Molecule: ribosomal RNA, 479 nt
Filed under: Triticum aestivum (bread wheat)
Lineage: Eukaryota; Viridiplantae; Streptophyta; Magnoliopsida; Poales; Poaceae
Description: partial small subunit ribosomal RNA
Source: RNAcentral